GCGAUUUCUUCGAUUAUUUAUAAAAAUAAAAUUAUUUAUAUAAUAUGGGGAAAUGGGCGAAAUAUGAAAAAAAAAACACAAAAGCGAAUGGGAACGAGAACCUUUAUUUCAAGGAACGGUAAUUACCGAUAGACCGCCUGGAAUCCGUUUAUGAUGUUAUUAUUCUGAAGAAAAGAGGGGGGGAAGACAGCUGUUACCGCUGACGGAUGAACUGUCAGUUGUCAAUCUAGUAAACAAACAAAAUACUGUUUAAAAAAAAAUAUGCGGAUCUGGACUUGAGCAAAUCAAAGAAUUUAGGUUAAUUCCUUUUUCUGUGUCAAACUGAACCAAUUCGCAAAAUUUACUUGGAUCUAUUGGUUUCAAAAUUUUGGGGCAGGAUUGCGAUUCUAAAAAAUUAGUAAGUUGCUCUUUGGGGCUAACCUCUCCAAAUGUCUGGAGCAAGCAAAGACCUUGGAGAAACAUAGCUCUGUUCUUGUCGAAAAGAAGAAUUUAAACUUCAAGAGCCCACCUCCUCGGAAGAUGGUUUCCAAACAGAUCACCUCCGGCUAGAGGGUCCAGCCUCAGUGGGGUGGGCACUCAAAUGCUCAACCAAAAGACAGACAGCAGAGGAGCAAGAGCUGGUCAGAUCCAAAGAAAAAGCAGAGCCAGAAGGAGAACUGGAAAAAACAACGUAGGUAUGGUGGGGAUGGUACGGCUGGCGCUAAUAACACCACCUACGUCAAAAAAAAAAAAGGACUAGGAAACGAGGACUUUAAAACUUGUGGCCUUUAGCCAAGUAGGAGGGACUACAUUUGUUUAUGAUCUGAGGAAAAAGGUGGUUCAUAUAAUUAAUAUCGAACUUCACUCACAGGUUUCAUCCAUAUCAUUUAGUCCUGCAUCAAGAAUUAAGUGCAUUUAAGAUUUUGACCGAAUGCUAGACCAUUGUCACUGGCUUUUGGGUAUGAUUGCAGAGGAUCCUCAGGUGCUUUCAAACAUAUUGUGGACAGAUGAGGCUACAUUUCACAGCAAUGGAGGCGUGAAUCUCCACAAUAUUCAUUACUAGUCACCAACGAAUCCGCACUGAAUGCGAGAAGUCCAGCAUCAAGGCCGUUGGUCUUUAAAUUGUUGGGCAGGAAUAUUAGGAGUUUUUAAGGGAGGAAUUGCCAAUUUUAUUAGAGGAUGUGCCACUUGAAAUUCGCCAACGAAUGAUGUUCCAGCACGAUUGGACAGCCAGCACAUUUCGCCCGAAAUGUUCGGGAGUUUUUAGAUGCUACCUACCUUGGUAGAUGGAUACGACGGGGCAGUACCUUUCCAUGGCCGGCUAGAUCACCAGACCUAACGUGCCUGGAUUUUUAUUUAUGGGGUCGAAUUAAAGAAAUUGUUUUUGCAAAAAGACCUACGACGCGACAAAAUAUGAUUGGCUGGAUUAGGGAUUGCAUGCAGACUCUCUCAUUUGCUGAGGUAGAGACUGCAGUUUUCUCUACCGAACAAAAGAUGUUUCAGUGCAUAGAAAAUGAUGGAAUGCAUUUUGAACAUUUGGGGAGGCACUAAAUAAAUUAUGUGUAUAACAUAUUAUUUAUUGUACCACCUAAGAUUUCUUAAAAUUGUAUGUAGAAUUUAAAUAUCAAAUAGCAUAUUAUAGAGUGUUCUAUUUAAAAUAAGUAAGUUUUCAUCUACAUCCGGUGUCAUCAAAAUUGUUACAAGUGUCAAAUUAUUUUAUUGUUGUAUCUUUAAUUAACUUUUCUAUGGUAUGGUAUGGUGCCAAAUUUUCAAAACUUUUCUAUAGAACAGCUAUAAACUGUAUGCACAGUUUUCCCAAAAUAGGCCAAUUUGGUCAACUUAUUUAGUUAACACCCUGUAUAAAUAAACGUAUAACGAUCAAUUCUAUAUCUCGGAUUUUCUAAAACACCACUGAGUUUGUUUCUUUUUAAAAAUUCUUAGUUAAUACGAGUUUAUUCAGCUUGUCUAAGCAAAUAGAAUUUAUGGCCAUUUUUAUCACUCUUAUUUUCGAAUGGACACUAUUUUGUUAAUAAGUUUAGUUUAACAAGUGAUAUCGAAGUGCCGUUUUCACCAGUUUCUUUGGUUUUCUUCCCCGCUUUUAACGACGUAAAAAAAUAUAUAUAGUUGCAUUUGAGUUUUUUGAAAUAAUCCGUCAGAAAGGGUUAGUCACAAGUCAACGCCCUCUAGCGGAUUUAAGGAAAAGUAAUUUGAAAUUUUUUUGUGGUUAAAAAAAUAAGGCAACAAUAGACUUAAAAAAAAAUAUGUUUAAAAAAAAUCGGUCCAGUCAUAGCUGAUUUUCAGCUGUUUUCUUUAUUCAAGCUAAAAACGCCCCCACCACUUUAUUUGACAACUGACAGAAAUUUUUGUAGAAACUUUUUUGUGAGGAAAUCUUCCUAGAAUAUUAAUAUAAUAUUUUGAGGUGUACGUUGUCGGAGGUUUUUUGGCAAAAAAGCAAUUUUAAGAUUUAAAGAAGCUGUGGCGCCCUCUAGCGGUUGACCAAUGAACUUCAAAAUAAUUUCCAGCAUUUUUUUUUUGGCCACUUUUAUUACAAAAUUUUUUUCAAGGCGCUACGACUAUUAGGGCCUGAGAUAUCGCCGACGUCCAUUCUUAGUUGGCCACCCGGUAUUUGCUAACAAACAAGAUCUGGUAUUGUUAUUCUGUGGUUUUUCAAAGAGAUCAUAUUCAAGAGAAUAUAAAAUAAUAGAUUAUAUUUUUCAUUUAGUUUUUUAUCUAUUGAAGUCUUAAGAGCAAUAAGAUCUUCUUUAGAAGGAAAAUUUUCAUAAUUAUACCUUCUGGUAGUUCCUUUCUAUUUAAAAUUUUAAGUCUCAGAGCAUCAGGUUUAAUCUUUUGUUCUAGAUCCAAAAGUGUUUUUUUUGGAAUCUUGUUUUUCAUUUGACGACCACAGGGGAAAAAGGAUGAGGGUCUAAAAAACGAAAAAUUGAGAUAGACACGCCAAAUCGCGGAAAGAAUCCAGUAUUUUACGUCUAUUAUACCGUGCCGAGGAAAACAAAUGAGAUGACCAUAUAAAGUGCGUUUUGGUAUAUGCCAUACAGGGGAAAAAAGAUGAUGGUCCACUCGAUUUAUACAAAACGGAUGAGAGUCCAAAAAUUCCCCACUCUUAAAAAAUCUUGUAUGCUAGUAAAUUCGGGCGUCAACAGAAAGAGCAGAAGCAGUUUGCUUUUGCUUUUAAGUGCGGUAAUGUGACUCGCGAGUUUUUGUCUGCUUCACGUGUUUUUCACGGAAUUUUUAAGAUGGCUGAGUGUGAAUCUUCAAGCGUUACUAAAAAAAGGCCAAAAUUAGGUCGCGUUUUUGACUCGUCAAAAAAACUAAGAUUGCAAACACAUGAAACUGGUAGCAGUUGUAAUUGUUCAAGGUUAAAAUGUUUUGAAGUAAUUGGUGUUCAAGACCGUUUGGCGAUUAUUAAAAACUUUAAUGAAAUAAAAUCCUAUAAUGAGCAGACCUUAUAUCACUCAUUCUCCUACAAAUACAAGGUAAGUUGUAUUAUUGUUCUAGCUCAUUACUUGUUUUACAGUAGUUAAUUUCUUUGAAGGUUCGAGUAAUGCGAGAUAAUGGAGCCAAAGAGAUUCCUGUUUGCAACAAGGCAAUGCUGUCGUUACAUGGAAUAUUAGCGAAGCGCAUUCAAAACAUCCAGCAAAUGCUUGUUAAAGACGGACAUGUUGGUGAAGAUGGUCGUGGUCGACAUUCCAAUCGACCAAAGAAGUUACACCAAGAAACCACUAAUGCUGUCUUUGCUCAUAUUCAAUCAUUUAAAGGUAGACAGUCACAUUAUAGCCUUCACAAGUCGAAAAAAACCUACCUACCAGAGGAGUUAAACGUUAAGAAAAUGUUCCAAAUGUUUAAGGAAUUACUUUCGACUAGAUCAAUUUCAUGAGUCAUAUCGUUCUAUCUUUGUAAACAAAUUUAAUAUUAGUUUCGGUUACCCGCGCAGUGACACAUGCAGCAGUUGCGAUGAAUAUAAAGCAAAAAUUGCAGAUCCUUCACAGGCUUCAAACCUUGCUACAUUACAUGUGACAAAUCAACUUCACUUUAGGAAGGCAGAGGCUUUUUAUCAAAGAAAACGAUCCGAACGCAAAAGAGCUCAACAACAUCGCCAUAUUGAAGCUAUUGCUAUGGAUUAUCAAAAAAACUUGCCACUGCCAAACAUUAGCACUAAUGACGUAUACUACAAAUGACAGUUAUCGUUCUACUUAUUUAAUAUUCACGUUUUAGCCAGUGGUGAGGCAUUUUUUUAUACGUACACAGAAACCGCCGCAAAAAAAGGAGCAGACGAAGUUGCUUUUAUGCUGUUACAUACUCAAUGAAUUGAAUCCCGAAGUUCAAGAACUUGUGAUUUUUUGUAAUUCGUGUUGUGGACAGAAUAAAAAUUAUACUUUGUUUCGAAUGCUUCAUUAUGUUGUACAGGGUGGCCAAAUAAGAAUGCGAGGUACUGUAUCUGGGAAACUAUUCAUCGUAGAAGCUUGCGAUAAAAGAAUUUAUUACUAAAAUAGCCAAGAGAAUGACCUGGAAAAUAUUUUCAAGUUUCUAAAAUGGCCGCUAGGGGGCGCAACUGCAAUCUUGAAUCUAGAAAACUGAUGUUUCUGUAAAUUUUGCUGAAUUAACCUAACAAAAAAAAUAGUUGAUUAUUAAAGUAGAGACUAAUCCGAACCUUUUUUAUUUGAAUAGUUUUGCUGUAUCUCUAAAAAUAAAGUGGUGGGGGGUGUUCAAAAGUUGGCUUAAAACACACCCUGUAUACUAAAAACGCCUUAGCCGAUUUUAUCAAACUUGGGCUAGUUGAAAAGAGCUAUUAUUAAGCUACGAAUAUUAUUAUAUUUCAUGUUUUUUUAGUUUUACAUCUCGCCGCUAGAGGGCUUUUUUCGGCUUUCUGACACAAAUGACUAAUUUUCUCAAAAAACUUAAAUGCGUUGAUAUGAUUUUUUUUUCAUAGAAAAAAAUAGCUAAAUGAUGUCUAAAUAAUCUUGCGAAAACCGCAACUCGAUAUCUUGUUCCUAACCUAAAAUAUAGGCCAAAGAACAUUUUAUACCCUUAAAUUUUUAUUUUUUUAUACUAAUUAUUUUGGAAUUUUUUAAAAUUCACUACUUUUGAAAACAAAAUUUACUAUUUUUGAAAAUAUUACCUAAUAUCACUAAAAGAUAAGUAUUAAUAAUGCUUAUAUCAAAAAUCAGACCUAUUUUAUGUUAUAUAUUCACUAUGGAUAUAAUACGAAAAAAAUAAUUAUUAGAAAGCAGGCCAUGGAAUGCAACAAAACAAAUGUCUACUCAAAUUAUAAACAUUCCUCAAAUUGUCAAUGGUAAGUUGUCAAAAGUUUUACGUUACUUGAGCAUUUUUUGUUUUUGCAAAAUGCGUUUUACGAACGAUGAAGCUGUUAAUAUGCUUGCGGUUUAUUUUGAACGUCUUUAUAUUGCUGCAAUAGCAAAAAGAGUUUAUGCUGCUCGAUAUCCAAAUCAAAGUUCUUGCGAUAUUAGAUUUUUUCCCCGAUUAGUGGUGAACUUACGAGCCAAUGGUAGUUUUCGGCCUAGGUUUCAACGGCCAAGAAUUAGAAGAAAUGUGGACAAUAUUAACAGCGUACUGUGAUAUAUUGAAGGAAAUCCUCAUGUUAGCACAAGAGCAUUAUCCCUUGAAUUAGGCAUAUCAAGAACAACGAUUCAAAAUAUUUUGAAGGACAAUAGAAUGCACCCAUAUCAUGUUAAUUUACAUCAGGCAUUGGAAGAAGCAGACUUUGACCGUAGGUUGGACUAUUGCCAUUGGAUAUUAGGCAUGAUACGCGAGGACAGAGAUUUUUUAUUUAAAAUUCUUUGGACCGAUGAAGCCACAUUUAAUAGUGACGGUAGAGUCAACCUGCAUAACAUGCAUUAUUGGCCUGCAGAAAAUUCGCAUUGGUUGCGUGAAGUUCAGCACCAAGGGCGCUAGAGUUUAAAUGUGUGGUAUACUUGGAGGCAACGUUAUUGGACCAUAUUUUUUUGAGCAAUCUCUAAAUGGCAAUGUUUUUUUCGACUUUUUGGUAAAUCAAUUACCGUUGUUGCUGGAAUAUGUGCCACUGGAAGUCCGGCAAAAUUUGUUUUUGCAGAUGGAUGGUUGUCCAGCACAUUUUGCUAGGAAUGUGCGAGAGCAUAUUAAUAACAUUUUUCAACAGCGGUGGAUUGGAAGAGGAAGCCUGUUUCCAUGGCCUCCGCGAUCCCCAGACUUAACCUGUCUUGAUUUCUAUUUAUGGGGGCGGUUAAAGGACAUUGUAUUUCAGACUCAGCCUACGACUAGAGAAGAUAUGAAAAACCGCAUUCGUAAUGCAAUACAUACCAUACCGAGAGCCGAAAUUGAAGCUGCAGUUCCAUCUACCCAUGAGAGGCUUCAGCAAUGCAUAGAGCGUGAUGGUCAGCAUUUCGAGCAUUUACGGGGUCAUUAAAACCCUUUCUUUUUAAAAUCGGUCCUUUAUAGGGCCACAACUUACAUUAUAAAAGAAAUUCUCAGGAUUUCCAUAAAAUUUUCUUUGGCCUAAAUUUUAGGUUAGGAUAAAGAUAUUAAGAUACGGUUUUCGCAAGCAUAUUUAGGCGUCAUUAAGCUAUUUUUUUUGUAUAAAAAAAUUUAUACCAUUGCAUUUAAGUUUUUUGAGAAAAUUAGUUAUUUGUGUCAGAAAGCCGAAAAAAGCCCCCUAGCGGCGAGAUGUAAAACUAAAAAAACAUGAAAUAUAAUAAUAUUCGUAGCUUGAUAAUAGCUCUAUUCAACUAGCCCAAGUUUGAUAAAAUCGGCUAAGGCGUUUUUAGUAUACAGGGUGUGUUUUAAGCCAACUUUUGAACACCCCCCACCACUUUAUUUUUAGAGAUACAGCAAAACUAUUCAAAUAAAAAAAGUUCGGAUUAGUCUCUACUUUAAUAAUCAACUAUUUUUUUUUGUUGGGUUAAUUCAGCAAAAUUUACAGAAACAUCAGUUUUCUAGAUUCAAGAUUGCAGUUGCGCCCCCUAGCGGCCAUUUUAGAAACUUGAAAAUAAUUUCCAGGUCAUUCUCUUGGCCAUUUUAGUAAUACAUUUUUUUAUCGCAAGCUUCUACGAUGA
RNAcentral lists this long non-coding RNA (7043 nucleotides) under Anthonomus grandis grandis. RNAcentral describes it as "uncharacterized LOC126738638". Lineage: Eukaryota; Metazoa; Arthropoda; Insecta; Coleoptera; Curculionidae. The record is from RNAcentral.